ACGCAGUAGGAUAGGCGAAGCGUGCGAUUGGAUUGCACGUCUAAGCAGUAAGGCUGAGUAUUAGGCAAAUCCGGUACUCAUUAAGGCUGAGCUGUGAUGGGGAGAAGACAUUGUGUCUUCGAGUCGUUGAUUUCACACUGCCGAGAAAAGCCUCUAGAUAGAAAAUAGGUGCCCGUACCGCAAACCGACACAGGUAGUCAAGAUGAGAAUUCUAAGGUGAGCGAGCGAACUCUCGUUAAGGAACUCGGCAAAAUGACCCCGUAACUUCGGGAGAAGGGGUGCUCUUUAGGGUUAACGCCCAGAAGAGCCGCAGUGAAUAGGCCCAAGCGACUGUUUAUCAAAAACACAGGUCUCUGCUAAACCGUAAGGUGAUGUAUAGGGGCUGACGCCUGCCCGGUGCUGGAAGGUUAAGAGGAGUGGUUAGCUUCUGCGAAGCUACGAAUCGAAGCCCCAGUAAACGGCGGCCGUAACUAUAACGGUCCUAAGGUAGCGAAAUUCCUUGUCGGGUAAGUUCCGACCCGCACGAAAGGCGUAACGAUUUGGGCACUGUCUCAACGAGAGACUCGGUGAAAUCAUAGUACCUGUGAAGAUGCAGGUUACCCGCGACAGGACGGAAAGACCCCGUGGAGCUUUACUGUAGCCUGAUAUUGAAAUUCGGCACAGCUUGUACAGGAUAGGUAGGAGCCUUUGAAACGUGAGCGCUAGCUUACGUGGAGGCGCUGGUGGGAUACUACCCU
RNAcentral lists this ribosomal RNA (737 nucleotides) under Staphylococcus aureus. RNAcentral's name for it is "partial 23S ribosomal RNA". It matches the Rfam family "Bacterial large subunit ribosomal RNA", at positions 1472 to 2206 of the family's 2925-position model. The record is from RNAcentral. Lineage: Bacteria; Bacillati; Bacillota; Bacilli; Caryophanales; Staphylococcaceae.